UGUGCUAUUAUCAGUGACCGG
RNAcentral lists this unclassified non-coding RNA (21 nucleotides) under Chlamydomonas reinhardtii. RNAcentral describes it as "small RNA Cre_3599". The record is from RNAcentral. Lineage: Eukaryota; Viridiplantae; Chlorophyta; Chlorophyceae; Chlamydomonadales; Chlamydomonadaceae.